This is a long non-coding RNA of Clupea harengus (Atlantic herring), 2128 nucleotides long. NCBI's taxonomy places the organism in Eukaryota, Metazoa, Chordata, Actinopteri, Clupeiformes, Clupeidae. The record is from Ensembl.
CUCUCUCUCAUGACUGGGCUCACACACACUCACAAGCACACACACACACAAGCACACACACACACACACUCAGCACUAUACACACACUCACAAGCACACACACACACACUCAGCACUAUACACACACUCACAAGCACACACACACACACUCAGCACUAUACACACACUCACAAGCACACACACUCAGCACUAUACACACACUCACAAGCACACACACACUCGGACACACACUCACAAGCACACACACACUCGGACACACACUCACAAGCACACACACACUCGGACACACACUCACAAGCACACGCACACUCGGACACAGACUUACACCUGUGCCGAAAAAAAGAAAGCAAGAUAAUUAGGCUUUGAUGAAGGAAGUGGUGGAUUUUGUCCCUCUCUCUUUCUCUUUCUCUCUCUCCCUCUCACUUUCUUCCUCUGACUCUCCUCUCCAGAUCUGUCCUUGCGUGCCUCUCUCACACACACACACACACACACACACACACACACCUCUCUCUUUCCACUGUAGUGAGUUCACUUCAAGGCUAGAAUGGGGUCAGCAGGGAAAGAGAGAACAAAAACCCCAAAACACACACACACACACACACACACACACACACAGGUCUUCACGAUACUUCAGUAGUCUCCACAGAUAGAAGGUUUUUGGCAGUCAUUUAGAAUUCCUCGUGAACCCAGGUAGGAAUCCCAUGAGAAAAACAGAAGCAGAACGGCUUAGUUCCAUCCGUGCAUCUCCAGAACUCCAUGUCCCAUGGUGCCCAGGAGCUGUGUCCAGUAGUUCAGGAAGUCUGGUGUAUCUCCUCAGUGAAAGUCCCUUGGCCCGCAGGAGGCAGUUACCUUCCAGCUAGGCGUUAGCACAGGCAGAGUUAGCCUGAGUGAUCCGCUAGGCGUUAGCACAGGCAGAGUUAGCCUGAAUGAUCCGCUAGGCGUUAGCACAGGCAGAGUUAGCCUGAGUGAUCCGCUAGGCGUUAGCACAGGCAGAGUUAGCCUGAAUGAUCCGCUAGGCGUUAGCACAGGCAGAGUUAGCCUGAAUGAUCCGCUAGGCGUUAGCACAGGCAGAGUUAGCCUGAGUGAUCUGCUAGGCGUUAGCACAGGCAGACCUCAGUACCCCAUGGGGCACUAGAUGCUGGGCAUUAGGAUCAGUGGUUCUGGGGCCUCGGUCCUGAGAAGAGACAUCAAACCAGAGGGGUCAUUCCAUCCUGUGUUGCCCAGAUGUUUAAGGCACAUAAUGGGACUAUGACAACGGGUUCCCUGCUCUACAUAUGUGCCCUCCCAGGGUUCUCUGUUCCCUGCUCUACACAUGUGUGCCCUAUUUCCGUGUGUUCUAUGUUCCCAGCGUCCUAUGUUCCCAGCAUCUUAUGUUCCCAGGGUUCUAUGUUCCCAGGGUUCUAUGUUCCCAGCAUCCUAUGUUCCCAGCGUCCUUUGUUCCCAGGGUGUUAUGUUCCCAGCGUCCCUUGUUCCCAGGGUGUUAUGUUCCCAGCGUCCCUUGUUCCCAGGGUGUUAUGUUCCCAGCGUCCUAUGUUCCCAGGGUUUUAUGUUCCCAGGGUUCUAUGUUCCCUGCUCUACACAUGUGUGCCCUAUUUCCGUGUGUUCUAUUUCCAGGGUUCUAUGUUCCCAGCGUCCUUUGUUCCCAGGGUGUUAUGUUCCCAGGGUUCUGUGUUCCCAGGGUUUUAUGUUCCCAGGGUUUUAUGUUCCCAGCAUCCUUUGUUCCCAGGGUUCUAUGUUCCCCAGCUCUUUAUGACACAUAAUGGGAACCUGAAUAAGUCUGUAUUGACGUAAUAUGACAUGGGCUGUUGUUGUGUUUAUAUAGCCUUGUUCCAAUAAAACACUAGAUCAGUGGUUCUUAACCUUAUUGGAGGUACUGAACCCUACAAGCUUCAUCAGUGCAUUCACCGAACCCUUCGUAAUUGGAAAAAUAAAGUAUGAUUUCUUCAAAACAUAGGUAUAUAUAAAAACGGCCCGACAUUGCUAGUGUGAACCGGGCUAUACUGUGUGUGUCUUGACCCCUACCGAACCCCUGAGAGUGACUCAACGAACCCCUGGGGUUUGAUCGAACCCAGGUUAAGAACCACUGCACUAGAUGAUCUUAUUUUAACUUAAACGGGUGACCUGAACA